Molecule: small nuclear RNA, 262 nt
Filed under: Nannospalax galili (Upper Galilee mountains blind mole rat)
Lineage: Eukaryota; Metazoa; Chordata; Mammalia; Rodentia; Spalacidae
Description: 7SK RNA (ENSNGAG00000008463.1)
Rfam family: 7SK RNA
About the family: 7SK was discovered as an abundant small nuclear RNA in the mid-70s but a possible function has only recently been suggested. Two independent studies have found that 7SK RNA binds the CDK9/cyclin T complex (known as elongation factor P-TEFb). P-TEFb activates transcription by phosphorylating the C-terminal domain of RNA polymerase II.
Source: RNAcentral
GGAUGUGAGGGUGAACUGGUUGCAACAUUGUCACCCCACUGACCACCAGGAUUGAUUUGACCUACCUGGCUGGCUGGGGCGGGAGUUAUCCCUUUCCUCCCUCCCUCUCCAUGUGUGCCCUUCUAGAUGUUGCAUGUCAGGUCAGAGCUUUGUAGAAGAGGACUGUUUUCUGGUCAAGCAUGUAGGACUAACUGCUAGAACCUGAGGGCACAGGGGGCUUUAUAUCCAAUACCACAGUACUCACCAGUAGGGGAGGGACUUU